UGGGAGGGAACUUCCACUGAGAAACCUGGAAUUGGGAACCCAAAAUCCAUCAGGGAACCCCAAAAUCCAUCAUGGAACCUUGAGAGGGACCUUCCACCAAGAAACCUGGAAUUGGGAACCCAAAAUCCAUCAUAAAACCCCAAAAUCCAUCAUGGAACACAAAAUCCAUCAUGGAACCCAAAAUCCAUCCCAGACGGGCCUUGGAGGGACCCUCCACCGAGAAACCUGGGGAGAAACCAGGAUUGGAACCCCAAAAUCCAUCCCAGGCAGGCCUGGGAGGGACCUUCCACCGAGAAACCUGGAAUUGGGAACCCAAAAUCCAUCAGGGAACCCCAAAAUCCAUCAUGGAAUCUGUCCUUGUACCCAGGUGAGCCUGGGAGGGACCCUCCACCGAGAAACCUGGGGAGAAACCAGGAUUGGAACCCAAAAUCCAUCAUGGAACCUUGAGAGGGACCUUCCACUGAGAAACCUGGGGAGAAACCCAAAAUCCAUCAGGGAACCCCAAAAUCCAUCCCAGACGGGCCUGGGAGGGACCCUCCACCGAGAAACCUGGAAUUGGGAACCCAAAAUCCAUCAGGGAACCCCAAAAUCCAUCCCAGACAGGCCUGGGAGGGACCCUCCACCGAGAAACCUGGGGAGAAAUCAGGAUUGGAACCCAAAAUUCAUCAGGGAACCCUGGGAGGGACCUUCCACCGAGAAACCUGGGGAGAAACCCACAAUCCAUCAGGGAACCCCAAAAUCCAUCAGGGAACCCCAAAUUCAUCAGGGAACCUGUCCUUGUACCCAGGUGAGCCUGGGAGGGACCCUCCACCGAGAAACCUGGAAUUGGGAACCCAAAAUCCAUCAGGGAACCCAAAAUCCAUCCCAGGUGGGUCUGGGAGGGACCUUCCACCGAGAAACCUGGGGAGAAAUCAUGGAUUGGAACCCAAAAUCCAUCAGGGAACUCCAAAUCCAUCAUGGAACCCCAAAAUCCAUCCCAGACGGGCCUGGGAGGGACCUUCCACCGAGAAACCUGGAAUUGGGAACCCAAAAUCCAUCAGGGAACCCAAAAUCCAUCACGGAACCCCAAAAUCCAUCACGGAACCCCAAAAUCCAUCAUGGACCCAAAAUCCAUCACGGAACCCCAAAAUCCAUCAUGGAGCCCCAAAAUCCAUCAUGGACCCCAAAAUCCAUCCCAGACAGGUCUGGGAGGAAACUUCCACUGAGAAACUUUGGGAGAAACCCAAAAUCCAUCAGGGAACCCCAAAAUCCAUCAUGGAGCCCCAAAAUCCAUCAUGGAACCCCAAAAUCCAUCACGGAACCCUGGUUUGGGGUGAGAAAUCAGAGACUGGGGACAGGAAACGUGAACUUGGUGACGAUGGGAACCCUGGGACAAGCAGGGGUUUGGGGUGAGAAACCCGA
This 1401-nucleotide long non-coding RNA is filed under the name Zonotrichia albicollis (white-throated sparrow). Its description in RNAcentral is "lncRNA (ENSZALG00000000051.1)". Lineage: Eukaryota; Metazoa; Chordata; Aves; Passeriformes; Passerellidae. The record is from RNAcentral.